AUCUGACAGGAGUUUGAUGUACUGAUUGAGGCCAUGCUGGACGCUCCUUAUAAAAAGGAGGAGGUGAUAGUCCCUGCACCACCCUUAGAAUUGGAUGAUAAGAGCAUGGUUGCGGAUCCUCAGUCUGAACACUCCGUAGUUGACACCAGGAUGGACACCAAGAAGUCGUAGGAGCCAAAGUCAUGAUCAUCUGCAGCGAGCCAGAAGCUGAAGAUGGAACCGUUGUCAUAAUGAUGAACCAUGAAGUCAAGACUGGCAUCGUGAGGACCGUGUGUGCUAUGGGAGUCCUCCACUUGCCACUGGGCAGAGAAGGACUUACUGGCAGCCAGGACCAACAACCUGCGGAGGGUAGUGGUGGGCUGAUGCGUCCCUGUGUGGACUGCUUGCACUCGGUAGCACUGAGGACAUACUCCGCGGCAUCUGUGAGCCCUUCAGCAAAGCUCUGGAAUUCAGCUGUCAACCACAGCUUCAGCCGCCCAGGCUGCUGCCUUGCAACUGAACGGGGCGGUUCCCUUGGGAGCUUGGAAGCCAGUGGCUCUGACUGAUAGACUUAAAUUGGGAGAGGGAGGUGGUGUUUGGGCUUGGGAAGAGGGAGUGCUCUGCUCACUCAGCUACUCCGUUCUUUGUUCUAGCUCAGAGUCCAGCCUGGGCCUCACCUCACAGGCAGUUGCAUCCCUGUGCUUCCAUCUCUGCAGCUUUUUCACUCCCGACCAUGUGAGUCUCAGGCCCUGGUUUAUUCUAGUGUCUGGCUUUCUUGUGGCUUCCAUUUACCCUUUUCCUUGCCAGAGGUAAAUCAGUGGCACAGCACCCUGCCUCCCUGUGCCUGUGAAUCCUGCUGCUUGCUUCUUCAUAUCUACACUGCUCCUGCCUGACUUCCGUUUUGUGGACCAAGCCGUCCUGAGGACAAGGACAUUGACUGCAGGAAUUGGGGCCACUCAGAAAUGAAGAAAGCUGCUGCCCGUACCGCUUUGGGAAUGGACUGGUUCAGCAAAGCCCCCAGCUGGAGAGAUCAGGAUCCACACCUACACUGAGUACCAAGAUGACUUUCCUGCCCUUUCCCACCAAGUCUCAGUGAUUCCUGGCUCCGCCCCCACUGGGAAGGCCAAGGGGCAUUAACACAUGGGUUAACCUCUCUCCAUUCCCUGUACCCUCACCUGUAACCUGUUAUAGGAAACGUGGUGGACCUCUAGAUCCGGAAGACCCUGGAGUCCAGGGUGUGCACCAGCGCUGGCUUUCGGCUGCAAGGACCCUGGAAGAUCACGUGAACAUGUGCACGUGGAGCCUGCCUUAGGCCUCAGUUUGGUGCAGCUGAAGGGCAAGAACUGCUACUGCAGGCUCAGGCUCUUGCUGGGAGGAGUAGGGAACAUCUGUCUUGCGAGGCAGCUGGGAUGCCUCAGGGGCUUUUGGAGUUCAGGAAAAGAAGGUGAGGCACCUUUCCAGUCUCUUCAUCUUCCUUUGCGUACCCCCCAGCUCCUCCCGUUGGCUUAGGCUGGGAGGAUGGCGCGGGUGCUGAUGCUCCUCACUUCUUCCUGUGUGCCUCCACUGUGGCCUCACCCCCAGUGGUUAAAGCCCCUCCUACCCCUACCUGGGCAUGUGUGAGCCCUUCUCACUGGGUUUUAUACCCUGUGUUGUACAUAUAAAUAAAUAUAUAAACUUUGUACAGGGGGCUGGGGAUUUAGCGCAGUGGUACAGCGCCUGCCUGGCAAGUGCAAGGUCGUGAGUUUGAUUCCUGGUGCCGGAGAAAAACCAAAAAAAAAUUUAAAAAUAAAAUAAAUAAACUUUGUACAAAAGCCCAGCCCUGUGUUGUGGUGGCUGCUGUCUAUGUGGUCUGAGUCAGUUGGUAUGUCUGUAUAAUGUUAAUUUCUGAGCCAAAAUCAUGGUGGUUCUAGGGAAAUAAAAUAUAUAUAUAUAAUACCAUUGUAUUUUGUUUUAAAAUUUAGAAAGCAAAAUGGAGCUGAAUAUGGUGGAAAAUACCUGUAGUCCUAGGACUCUGGGAGGCUGACGCAGGAGGACUGCAAGCCCAAGCUCAGCCAGGGCAACUUAGUGAGCUCUGUUCUCCAAAAGAGAUGUAACUCAUCUCAGUAUGUAUUGGGGGUGGGAGACAGCUCACACCUCGAUGGAAUUCCCCGCCUGUGUCUGCAUUACGCUCUCUGCUGCUUGCUUUCCUCCGUGUAGUGUCAUCUUAAGUGCCUCUCCCUACCUACCUGCCCACCAGAUUUCCAGUCUCUUGCUCUAUGCUUGAGGACAAAUCUUAGCUUUCCACCAGAUGGCAGUGUGACUAGCACAUCCUAUACCUUUUUCUAGUGGUGUUCUGUGAUCUUGAGGAGCUUAAGUACCAGAGAAGCCGCUUAAGCUCACAGUCUACCCUGUUGGGCUGACUUUGUGCCUUAUUUUGAUACUGAGUAGUGGAAAUCCCAGUCCAGUACCCCAUGGGGUCUGGGCAUUAGAUACACAUCAGGGACCCCCUGAGCUGAUGCCGCUGCUUCCUGGUUGGUUCUGUCAGCCCUUGCUUUUCCUAUGCGGCUCUGCCUAGAGUACCAGGCUUGGGGCCAGUGGGUUCCGGAGCACUGCUUAUUUCAGUGAUAGUCCUAGGCAUAGGGGAGCAGGUGCACCUGCCCCUGGCUGUUCUGUAUAACAAGGGGUGGGAAAGAGCAUGGCUCACUACCCUAGGAACCAACUGAAAAGAGAAGGCCUGAAUUCAGGGGCAGGGUUCUGUGGGGUUCCUCCAUUCUUUACUGAUCUCUAUGGCAACAGAAUGUUAAGACUUUAUUAUGCUAAAAAUAUGGAUAAUUGCUGUUAGGUUUUAAUUUGUCAGCUCUCAGACUUCUAAGUGGGGUGAUGGUUUCGUGGUGGUGUUUGUCUCAGGUUGUGCCUGCGUGUGCCGUCGGAGGCUGGGGUUCUGGACUUGCUCCUGGGCUUUGCUUGCUGCUCUUCACAGUCAGCCCUAUGCUCUCCGGUCCUAUCCCAGUUUGCUUUCUGGACCCGGGGGAAGGGAAGGAGGAUGCACCAUUUUAAAGUAGGAAUUGCUGGCUCUGAUCCAGUCCCCCAAUAGUAUUGAUUUGGCUGCUAAUGCAUCUUUACAGGUUCAGCAGGGACCAUUUUUGUCAGUCACCCUGAGCCACGCACUGGGACUCCUCAUGGCUGGCUUGGGCUCCUCAGCAUAAUUAUGUGCAGAGCCUUGCUUCCCUGUCCUGCUGAGUCGGCUCGUUUCUGCUUGCUCUCCUCACACUCCCACCUCUGGCUACGUUGGCUUUCCUGAACACCUCCCGCCUCAGCACCUCCUUGCUCCCUGAUUUCCUCAAACAGCUUCUUGCCAGGAGGGAGAUGGUGGAAGUAGGGAAACAUCUAAGACAACUUCUGCUCUGGGCUUACCCCAUAUAAGGUGAAGGCAUCUAGUGGGUGACAGCUAGUGUCAUCGUGCGUGACUCAGUGCCUUCUUGUUACUCAUCCUCCAUAGGGGGUGAUUAGAGUGGAAAGAAGGGGGCAGCGAACAGCCUCUCUGCCCAGCCUACGGCAACAGAAACCUCCCAGCUCUCCCACCACAGCAAGGCUGGCACAGGUAAACUGACCCAGAUUCCUGCCCAGUAGAAUUAGAAUUUCCCUAUCAGGUAUAAGCUCCAGGUAGGAUUUUUAAAAAAAAAAUUUUUUUUUUCCUGUACCAGGAAUCGAACUCACGACCUUGUGCUUGCCAGACAGGCACUGUUGAGCUAAAUCCCCAGCCCCUCCAGGUAGGAUUUUCACCUGACUUUGGACUUGCAGCCUCCACUUCUGUCUUCCCAAGGCAGCACCCUUCCUUUACUCCUUUAACUGCUGUGUAUUGGCAUAGGAGCUCUGCCUUCCCCCUCCUCCGCCUCCAGCUCUGGCUGUGAGCUGUCAGCAGGGCUCACAGAGGCCUGACCUGUGAACCUUUAGUCUGGCCCUUACUAUGAGGGGAAAUGGGUUAAAAAUGUGAAGAGAGAAAUCACACCACAGUCCACCUUUCCCCUGUGAAGAAGGGCUGAUGGGAAUAAAGGGGGAACACGUGGACAGUGAAAAGAAGCAAUUGUGGCUCAGAAAAAUGAGAAAGUAGAAGGUGGCGUGAUGAUGACUGCUAUGUUUGUGCAGGGUUUGUUGGUCAGGCCCAAUUCUGACCAUUGUGCCUGUAUUAAAUAAUGUUAUUCUCACAAGUGUCUCAAGGUGAACUGUUUUGUCUACUUUGAAAGUGAAGUUGGUACCCAAAGUGACUGAGUGAUGAAUGUGUU
This 4241-nucleotide long non-coding RNA is filed under the name Chinchilla lanigera (long-tailed chinchilla). Its description in RNAcentral is "lncRNA (ENSCLAG00000028843.1)". Lineage: Eukaryota; Metazoa; Chordata; Mammalia; Rodentia; Chinchillidae. The record is from RNAcentral.